RNAcentral lists this ribosomal RNA (713 nucleotides) under Acinetobacter johnsonii. RNAcentral's name for it is "bacterial SSU rRNA". It matches the Rfam family "Bacterial small subunit ribosomal RNA", at positions 26 to 733 of the family's 1533-position model. Lineage: Bacteria; Pseudomonadati; Pseudomonadota; Gammaproteobacteria; Moraxellales; Moraxellaceae. The record is from RNAcentral.
AGAUUGAACGCUGGCGGCAGGCUUAACACAUGCAAGUCGAGCGGGGAAAGGUAGCUUGCUACCUAACCUAGCGGCGGACGGGUGAGUAAUGCUUAGGAAUCUGCCUAUUAGUGGGGGACAACAUUCCGAAAGGAAUGCUAAUACCGCAUACGCCCUACGGGGGAAAGCAGGGGAUCUUCGGACCUUGCGCUAAUAGAUGAGCCUAAGUCAGAUUAGCUAGUUGGUGGGGUAAAGGCCUACCAAGGCGACGAUCUGUAGCGGGUCUGAGAGGAUGAUCCGCCACACUGGGACUGAGACACGGCCCAGACUCCUACGGGAGGCAGCAGUGGGGAAUAUUGGACAAUGGGCGAAAGCCUGAUCCAGCCAUGCCGCGUGUGUGAAGAAGGCCUUUUGGUUGUAAAGCACUUUAAGCGAGGAGGAGGCUACUUAGAUUAAUACUCUAGGAUAGUGGACGUUACUCGCAGAAUAAGCACCGGCUAACUCUGUGCCAGCAGCCGCGGUAAUACAGAGGGUGCGAGCGUUAAUCGGAUUUACUGGGCGUAAAGCGUGCGUAGGCGGCUUUUUAAGUCGGAUGUGAAAUCCCUGAGCUUAACUUAGGAAUUGCAUUCGAUACUGGGAAGCUAGAGUAUGGGAGAGGAUGGUAGAAUUCCAGGUGUAGCGGUGAAAUGCGUAGAGAUCUGGAGGAAUACCGAUGGCGAAGGCAGCCAUCUGGC